GUACUCACUUUGGCAGCACAUAUACUAAAAUUUUAAUGAUACAGAGAUUAUCAUGGCCCCUGUGCAAGGAUGACAUGCAAAUUUGUGAAGUGUUUGAUAUUUU
RNAcentral lists this small nuclear RNA (103 nucleotides) under Mus caroli (Ryukyu mouse). Lineage: Eukaryota; Metazoa; Chordata; Mammalia; Rodentia; Muridae. The record is from RNAcentral.